This 789-nucleotide ribosomal RNA is filed under the name uncultured Campylobacterota bacterium. RNAcentral's name for it is "bacterial SSU rRNA". It matches the Rfam family "Bacterial small subunit ribosomal RNA", at positions 616 to 1401 of the family's 1533-position model. Lineage: Bacteria; Pseudomonadati; Campylobacterota. The record is from RNAcentral.
UUGAACUGCAUUUGAAACUGGGAGCCUAGAGUUCAGAAGGGGCAGAUGAAAUUAGUGGUGUAGGGGUAAAAUCCGUAGAUAUCACUAGGAAUAUCAAAAGCGAAGGCGAUCUGCUGGGAUGAUACUAACGCUGAGGCACGAAAGCGUGGGGAGCAAACAGGAUUAGAUACCCUGGUAGUCCACGCCCUAAACGAUGAAUGCUAGUCGUCGGGGAGCUCGUCUCUUCGGUGAUGCACUUAACAGAUUAAGCAUUCCGCCUGGGGAGUACGGUCGCAAGAUUAAAACUCAAAGGAAUAGACGGGGACCCGCACAAGUGGUGGAGCAUGUGGUUUAAUUCGAAGAUACACGAAGAACCUUACCUGGCCUUGACAUGGUAGGAACCCUUAAGAGAUUAGGGGGUGCUAGCUUGCUAGAACCUACACACAGGUGCUGCACGGCUGUCGUCAGCUCGUGUCGUGAGAUGUUGGGUUAAGUCCCGCAACGAGCGCAACCCUCGUCUUUAGUUGCUAACAGUUAGGCUGAGCACUCUAAAGAGACUGCCUCCGUAAGGAGGAGGAAGGUGAGGACGACGUCAAGUCAUCAUGGCCCUUACGGCCAGGGCUACACACGUGCUACAAUGGGGCGUACAAAGAGCUGCAAUACCGCGAGGUGGAGCCAAUCUCUUAAAGCGUCUCUCAGUUCGGAUUGUUCUCUGCAACUCGAGAACAUGAAGCUGGAAUCACUAGUAAUCGUAGAUCAGCUAUGCUACGGUGAAUACGUUCCCGGGUCUUGUACUCACCGCCCGUCACA